GAUUAACGCUGGCGGCGUGCAUAACACAUGCAAGUCGAACGAUGCAACUUAGUAUACUUCUUCGGAAAGAAACUAAGCGGGUUAGUGUCAAACGGGAGAGUAACGCGUGAGUAUCCUGCCUUACACAAGGGGAUAGCCUCUGGAAACGAGGAAUAUUACCGUGUAAAACCAUAAAAGCAGAUGCUAGAAUGGUCAAAGUGAUAGCGGUGUAAGAUGGACUUGCGUCUGAUUAGCUAGUUGGUGAGAUAAAAGCUCACCAAGGCAACGAUCAGUAGCCGGCUUGAGAGAGUGUACGGCCACAUUGGGACUGAGACACGGCCCAGACUGCUACGGGAGGCAGCAGUGGGGAAUUUUGCACAAUGGGGGAAAACCUGAGGCAGCGACGCCGCGGGAUUCAGAAGGCCUUCGGGUUGUAAAAAUCUUUUGUAUAGGAAGAAAAUGACAUAACUAUACGAAUAAGGUCCGGCUAAGUACGUG
This 477-nucleotide ribosomal RNA is filed under the name uncultured bacterium. RNAcentral's name for it is "partial 16S ribosomal RNA". It matches the Rfam family "Bacterial small subunit ribosomal RNA", at positions 28 to 507 of the family's 1533-position model. The record is from RNAcentral.